GCGGAUGUAGCUCAGCUGGUAGAGCGCAACCUUGCCAAGGUUGAGGUCGCAGGUUCGAAUCUUGUUAUCCGCU
Haliscomenobacter hydrossis DSM 1100 is the source of this 73-nucleotide transfer RNA. It matches the Rfam family "tRNA". Rfam says of the family: Transfer RNA (tRNA) molecules are approximately 80 nucleotides in length. Their secondary structure includes four short double-helical elements and three loops (D, anti-codon, and T loops). Further hydrogen bonds mediate the characteristic L-shaped molecular structure. tRNAs have two regions of fundamental functional importance: the anti-codon, which is responsible for specific mRNA codon recognition, and the 3' end, to which the tRNAs corresponding amino acid is attached (by aminoacyl-tRNA synthetases). tRNAs cope with the degeneracy of the genetic code in two manners: having more than one tRNA (with a specific anti-codon) for a particular amino acid; and 'wobble' base-pairing, i.e. permitting non-standard base-pairing at the 3rd anti-codon position. The record is from Rfam. NCBI's taxonomy places the organism in Bacteria, Pseudomonadati, Bacteroidota, Saprospiria, Saprospirales, Haliscomenobacteraceae.